This 198-nucleotide ribosomal RNA is filed under the name uncultured Clostridia bacterium. RNAcentral describes it as "16S ribosomal RNA". The record is from RNAcentral. Lineage: Bacteria; Bacillati; Bacillota; Clostridia.
CGAAACAGCCCCGCAGCUGACGCAGCGACGCCGCGUGAGAGACGAUGGCUUCGGGUGUAAAUCUAGCAGACGGGGGACGAAUGGAGUGACGGCCCGGAGGUGGAAGACCGGAGUAUCUGCGUGCCAGCACGCGCGGUUUCUCGGUGAUAGCUGUAGCGGUUUUUAUCGUUUUCCUCAAAUUAGAGAGAGUCCCCCAUU